RNAcentral lists this ribosomal RNA (2923 nucleotides) under Klebsiella pneumoniae. RNAcentral describes it as "23S ribosomal RNA". It matches the Rfam family "Bacterial large subunit ribosomal RNA". The record is from RNAcentral. Lineage: Bacteria; Pseudomonadati; Pseudomonadota; Gammaproteobacteria; Enterobacterales; Enterobacteriaceae.
GGGUUGUGAGGUUAAGCGACUAAGCGUACACGGUGGAUGCCCUGGCAGUCAGAGGCGAUGAAGGACGUGCUAAUCUGCGAAAAGCGUCGGUAAGGUGAUAUGAACCGUUAUAACCGGCGAUGUCCGAAUGGGGAAACCCAGUGUGAUUCGUCACACUAUCGUUAACUGAAUACAUAGGUUAACGAGGCGAACCGGGGGAACUGAAACAUCUAAGUACCCCGAGGAAAAGAAAUCAACCGAGAUUCCCCCAGUAGCGGCGAGCGAACGGGGAGCAGCCCAGAGUCUGAAUCAGCUUGUGUGUUAGUGGAACGGUCUGGAAAGUCCGACGGUACAGGGUGAUAGUCCCGUACACCAAAAUGCACAGGCUGUGAACUCGAAGAGUAGGGCGGGACACGUGGUAUCCUGUCUGAAUAUGGGGGGACCAUCCUCCAAGGCUAAAUACUCCUGACUGACCGAUAGUGAACCAGUACCGUGAGGGAAAGGCGAAAAGAACCCCGGCGAGGGGAGUGAAAAAGAACCUGAAACCGUGUACGUACAAGCAGUGGGAGCACCUUCGGGUGUGACUGCGUACCUUUUGUAUAAUGGGUCAGCGACUUAUAUUCUGUAGCAAGGUUAACCGUAUAGGGGAGCCGCAGGGAAACCGAGUCUUAACUGGGCGUUAAGUUGCAGGGUAUAGACCCGAAACCCGGUGAUCUAGCCAUGGGCAGGUUGAAGGUUGGGUAACACUAACUGGAGGACCGAACCGACUAAUGUUGAAAAAUUAGCGGAUGACUUGUGGCUGGGGGUGAAAGGCCAAUCAAACCGGGAGAUAGCUGGUUCUCCCCGAAAGCUAUUUAGGUAGCGCCUCGUGAACUCAUCUUCGGGGGUAGAGCACUGUUUCGGCUAGGGGGUCAUCCCGACUUACCAACCCGAUGCAAACUACGAAUACCGAAGAAUGUUAUCACGGGAGACACACGGCGGGUGCUAACGUCCGUCGUGAAGAGGGAAACAACCCAGACCGCCAGCUAAGGUCCCAAAGUCAUGGUUAAGUGGGAAACGAUGUGGGAAGGCACAGACAGCCAGGAUGUUGGCUUAGAAGCAGCCAUCAUUUAAAGAAAGCGUAAUAGCUCACUGGUCGAGUCGGCCUGCGCGGAAGAUGUAACGGGGCUAAACCAUGCACCGAAGCUGCGGCAGCGACACUAUGUGUUGUUGGGUAGGGGAGCGUUCUGUAAGCCUGCGAAGGUGACCUGUGAGGGUUGCUGGAGGUAUCAGAAGUGCGAAUGCUGACAUAAGUAACGAUAAAGCGGGUGAAAAGCCCGCUCGCCGGAAGACCAAGGGUUCCUGUCCAACGUUAAUCGGGGCAGGGUGAGUCGACCCCUAAGGCGAGGCCGAAAGGCGUAGUCGAUGGGAAACAGGUUAAUAUUCCUGUACUUGGUGUUACUGCGAAGGGGGGACGGAGAAGGCUAUGUUAGCCGGGCGACGGUUGUCCCGGUUUAAGCAUGUAGGCUGAUUGUCCAGGCAAAUCCGGAUAAUCAAGGCUGAGGUGUGAUGACGAGGCACUACGGUGCUGAAGUAACAAAUGCCCUGCUUCCAGGAAAAGCCUCUAAGCAUCAGGUAACAUCAAAUCGUACCCCAAACCGACACAGGUGGUCAGGUAGAGAAUACCAAGGCGCUUGAGAGAACUCGGGUGAAGGAACUAGGCAAAAUGGUGCCGUAACUUCGGGAGAAGGCACGCUGGUGUGUAGGUGAAGCCCCUGCGGGUGGAGCUGAGACCAGUCGAAGAUACCAGCUGGCUGCAACUGUUUAUUAAAAACACAGCACUGUGCAAACACGAAAGUGGACGUAUACGGUGUGACGCCUGCCCGGUGCCGGAAGGUUAAUUGAUGGGGUUAUCCGUAAGGAGAAGCUCUUGAUCGAAGCCCCGGUAAACGGCGGCCGUAACUAUAACGGUCCUAAGGUAGCGAAAUUCCUUGUCGGGUAAGUUCCGACCUGCACGAAUGGCGUAAUGAUGGCCAGGCUGUCUCCACCCGAGACUCAGUGAAAUUGAACUCGCUGUGAAGAUGCAGUGUACCCGCGGCAAGACGGAAAGACCCCGUGAACCUUUACUAUAGCUUGACACUGAACAUUGAGCCUUGAUGUGUAGGAUAGGUGGGAGGCUUUGAAGCGUGGACGCCAGUCUGCGUGGAGCCAACCUUGAAAUACCACCCUUUAAUGUUUGAUGUUCUAACGUUGGCCCCUGACCGGGGUUGCGGACAGUGUCUGGUGGGUAGUUUGACUGGGGCGGUCUCCUCCCAAAGCGUAACGGAGGAGCACGAAGGUUAGCUAAUCCUGGUCGGACAUCAGGAGGUUAGUGCAAUGGCAUAAGCUAGCUUGACUGCGAGCGUGACGGCGCGAGCAGGUGCGAAAGCAGGUCAUAGUGAUCCGGUGGUUCUGAAUGGAAGGGCCAUCGCUCAACGGAUAAAAGGUACUCCGGGGAUAACAGGCUGAUACCGCCCAAGAGUUCAUAUCGACGGCGGUGUUUGGCACCUCGAUGUCGGCUCAUCACAUCCUGGGGCUGAAGUAGGUCCCAAGGGUAUGGCUGUUCGCCAUUUAAAGUGGUACGCGAGCUGGGUUUAGAACGUCGUGAGACAGUUCGGUCCCUAUCUGCCGUGGGCGCUGGAGAAUUGAGGGGGGCUGCUCCUAGUACGAGAGGACCGGAGUGGACGCAUCACUGGUGUUCGGGUUGUCAUGCCAAUGGCACUGCCCGGUAGCUAAAUGCGGAAGAGAUAAGUGCUGAAAGCAUCUAAGCACGAAACUUGCCCCGAGAUGAGUUCUCCCUGAGACUUUAAGUCUCCUGAAGGAACGUUGAAGACGACGACGUUGAUAGGCCGGGUGUGUAAGCGCAGCGAUGCGUUGAGCUAACCGGUACUAAUGAACCGUGAGGCUUAACCUUACAACGCCGAAG